GGAGAGAAAAAGAACAGAAAGCGUGCCUUCUUGAAUGCAAUCCACAACUUCUGCUGUUGUUACAUUCAAUGCACGUAGGAGAAUUGAAAGGAUUGUACCCAAACAGAGACUCCAUCAUCUCCUCGUUGAAUCUGCCAAUGUUAUAAUGAUUAAACUGACCAUGGAUUGACCAGGAUUGGCAAGAACCUUAUCCCAGAAGAAUGGCUUUAACUUGGUCUUGUGGCUUCCUGGAUCCGAAUUCGUAUUU
This is a non-coding RNA of Cucurbita pepo subsp. pepo (vegetable marrow), 247 nucleotides long. Lineage: Eukaryota; Viridiplantae; Streptophyta; Magnoliopsida; Cucurbitales; Cucurbitaceae. The record is from RefSeq and is a predicted model, not a curated record.